UGCCCUAGUAACGGCGAGUGAAGCGGCAACAGCUCAAAUUUGAAAUCUGGCCCCAGGCCCGAGUUGUAAUUUGCAGAGGAUGCUUUUGGCAAAGCGCUUACCGAGUCCCCUGGAACGGGGCGCCGCAGAGGGUGAGAGCCCCGUAUGGUAUGACGCCUAGCCUCUGUAAAGCUCCUUCGACGAGUCGAGUAGUUUGGGAAUGCUGCUCUAAAUGGGAGGUAAAUUUCUUCUAAAGCUAAAUACCGGCCAGAGACCGAUAGCGCACAAGUAGAGUGAUCGAAAGAUGAAAAGCACUUUGAAAAGAGGGUUAAAUAGCACGUGAAAUUGUUGAAAGGGAAGCGCUCGUGACCAGACUUGCGCCGGGCGGAUCAUCCAGCGUUCUCGCUGGUGCACUCCGCCCGGCUCAGGCCAGCAUCGGUUUUCGCCGGGGGACAAAAGCUUCGGGAACGUGGCUCCCCUCGGGGAGUGUUAUAGCCCGUUGUUUAAUACCCCGGCGGGGACCGAGGACCGCGCUUCGGCAAGGAUGCUGGCGUAAUGGUCAUCAGCGACCCGUCUUGAAACACGGACCGAGGAGUCAAGCAUUAGUGCGAGUGUUUGGGUGUAAAACCCGCACGCGUAAUGAAAGUGAACGUAGGUGAGAGCUUCGGCGCAUCAUCGACCGAUCCUGAUGUUUUCGGAUGGAUUUGAGUAGGAGCAUUAACGCUUGGACCCGAAAGAUGGUGAACUAUACUUGAAUAGGGUGAAGCCA
This 748-nucleotide ribosomal RNA is filed under the name Gaeumannomyces graminis. RNAcentral describes it as "partial 28S ribosomal RNA". It matches the Rfam family "Eukaryotic large subunit ribosomal RNA", at positions 76 to 854 of the family's 3401-position model. Lineage: Eukaryota; Fungi; Ascomycota; Sordariomycetes; Magnaporthales; Magnaporthaceae. The record is from RNAcentral.